UAAACAAUUUCUUGUCCUUCAUCUACUCCAUUGGAGGAUGAGGAAGAGUUUCUUCCACUUCAGUAUCAAAAGCAUUGAUUCUGAUCAUUUGAGAUUUAAAGAAAAUGCUAUCAACACCAAUUGUCGAUAUUAUUAGUUGUCAAAUCGGUUGCAUUUGCUGUUCUUCGGGUUGAACUACUGAAUAUUUAUUUAUUUUUCUUUAAAUUUUAUUUAUGUUAGUAAAUCCUAUUAAUGAGAAUUCAAUGAUGUUUGUAAUCCUAACAGCUAUGAGUCGUGGUUGUUAAUUAUAGUAAGUUUUUUUGGGAGGAUCGACCAACGCUCUUUUGUGAGAUUGGUAUAACUCUUUUUGGAACAACAUUUCUCUUUGUUAGGAGGAUUGCAAGUGUAAUACCAGACAUUUGAAUUUCCUUUUGGCUUCUUUCUUCUU
This 427-nucleotide long non-coding RNA is filed under the name Lathyrus oleraceus (garden pea). RNAcentral describes it as "Pisum sativum (pea) long non-coding RNA (PSAT_LNC041372)". The record is from RNAcentral. Lineage: Eukaryota; Viridiplantae; Streptophyta; Magnoliopsida; Fabales; Fabaceae.